GCCUUUACUAAUAUCUCUCCUGUGCUCUUGCAAGCUUUCCCCUAAGUUUCUACUAGUUACACCUAUGUAUGCUGUUUUUUUCUUUGGAUUCAACUAUUUCCACUGGUAUCUUAUAUACACCUGCAUUCUGUUCUUCAUCUCUCCUAGGUUUCUCAUUCCUUAACCUAUUGAAAAUCAUCGUUGACCUAUAUUGGGCUGGCUUCUUCUUAGCUUUCUUCAGAAUAUUUCUCACUGAAUUCAAUUUAGCCAUUCUGUACAGUAUCGGUAAGUAGUCCUGGUUUUGGCUCUCAUUCGACUUCUUUCUAUUUGGUCUAGGUGGUUCCUGGUUUAGGGCUUGGCAUACGCUUGUUUGUAUAGACUUGACGAACCCUGUUUCAAAACCAUGCUGCCUGCCUAUUUGGUAUAUUUGGGUAAGUUCUUUUUGAAAGCUUGCCUACUCUGUAC
RNAcentral lists this long non-coding RNA (444 nucleotides) under Androctonus crassicauda. The record is from RNAcentral. Lineage: Eukaryota; Metazoa; Arthropoda; Arachnida; Scorpiones; Buthidae.